Non-coding RNA from Pelobates cultripes (western spadefoot toad), 310 nucleotides. NCBI's taxonomy places the organism in Eukaryota, Metazoa, Chordata, Amphibia, Anura, Pelobatidae. The record is from the annotation of a GenBank genome assembly.
AGGGCAGCAUGAUUGACAAGCCAGCUUCAUACAGUCUGCAGGCUUUACCUUGUCUGUCUCAAGGUUUUGUGACUGGUUCUAACUUGCCAUGCCUUGUUGCAUACCUGCCACGUGCCCCUUUCUCAGAUGGAAAGCCAAUAUUUUUAGCACAAAUCCCCGGAGUGCCUAUUUUUUAGGAAGUCCACAUUUUAGUGAUUGUAAAUGUCCUGCGCUUUUAUUCUGCAAUAUAAAUAUGAGAUUUUGGUUUUGCUACAGAUACAUUGCCAUAAAUGGUUGUUAGUAGAUCAUGAAGUCAUCUAAAAUAUCCCAG